This 359-nucleotide unclassified non-coding RNA is filed under the name soil metagenome. Its description in RNAcentral is "partial contains 5.8S ribosomal RNA, internal transcribed spacer 2, and large subunit ribosomal RNA". The stretch from base 1 to 120 matches the Rfam family "5.8S ribosomal RNA", at positions 35 to 154 of the family's 154-position model. The record is from RNAcentral.
GAUGAAGAACGCAGCGAAAUGCGAUAAGUAAUGUGAAUUGCAGAAUUCCGUGAAUCAUCGAAUCUUUGAACGCAAAUUGCACUCUUCGGUUUUUCCGAGAGUAUGCCUGUUUGAGGGUCGGUAAAAUGAAAUAUCGAUUUGUUGCUUAUUGCAACAUUUCGGAGUUGGGUUAACUUGAUAUUCUCAAGUGACCUAAAAUUCAUUACCUCGGUAUGAUUAACGUUCUUAAAUGAUUUCGUUCUGAGUGCCGAAUUUAUUAGACGUGACUAUUUUAUAGCAUCACUUCUAUAAUUUUUGAUUUUCGACCUCAAAUCAGGUAAGAUUACCCGCUGAACUUAAGCAUAUCAAUAAGCGGAGGA